Long non-coding RNA from Candoia aspera, 804 nucleotides. RefSeq lists it as uncharacterized. The transcript is spliced from 3 exons. Lineage: Eukaryota; Metazoa; Chordata; Lepidosauria; Squamata; Candoiidae. The record is from RefSeq and is a predicted model, not a curated record.
UUUUCCAGAAGACUCUGUGAUCCAUCAAACUGGACAAUUAACAGCAGACCCAUCAAGAAACACAGUGGCAACUGUAAAACAAUAGCCUUAAAAGUAAGCAUGGCUUCAACAUCAUUUCAACAGAAAACAGAACCCAAAAAAGAAAAGAAAAAAAGAAAAAUCGCGGAUGAAGGAAGAGUAUUCAGUGAAAAAUGGACCGAUGAGUACUUUUUUGUCAAGACAAAUACUAAGGCACUAUGCUUAAUUUGUAGGGAAAAUGUGUCAGUUUUCAAAGACUACAAUUUGAAAAGGCAUUAUAUGGAAAAACAUGCUGCCAAAUUUGAAGCGUAUCAAGGAAUUUGUCAUAAAGACAAAUUAGCGGAACUGAAAAAAAGUCUGUUGUCUCAACAAUUUUUUUUUUAAAGUCACAACUCAAAAGGAUUCUAUUAUAAAAGCUAGUUAUUUGGUAGCAAAUCUGGUUGCAAAAAAAUCAAAACCAUUUACCGAUGGUGAGUUUAUUAAGCAAUGUAUGGAAAGCGUGGCAGAUAUAAUUUGUCCUGAUAAAAAAAACUAUUUUUCUAAAAUCAGUUUGUCUCACCAGACUAUAGCCAGGCGAACUGAAGAAAUAGGAAAAUCUGUCGAAAGAGGUUUGAAGAGUAAAGCUGCUAAUUUCAAAUUUUAUGCUUUGGCGAUGGAUGAAAGUACUGAUGCUACAGAUAUGGCUCAACUUGCCAUUUUUAUUAGAGGUAUUGAUAAGGAAUAUGUCACUGAAGAAAUGGCUUCUUUGGUGCCAUUAAAAGACACAACUAAAUCUCUUGAUUUGUA